GACGAACGCUGGCGGCGUGCUUAACACAUGCAAGUCGAACGGAAAGGCCCUGCUUUUGUGGGGUGCUCGAGUGGCGAACGGGUGAGUAACACGUGAGUAACCUGCCCUUGACUUUGGGAUAACUUCAGGAAAAUGGGGCUAAUACCGGAUAGGAGCUCCUGCUGCAUGGUGGGGGUUGGAAAGUUUCGGCGGUGGGGGAUGGACUCGCGGCUUAUCAGCUUGUUGGUGGGGUAGUGGAUUACCAAGGCUUUGACGGGUAGCCGGCCUGAGAGGGUGACCGGCCACAUUGGGACUAAGAUACGGACCAGACUCCUACGGGAGGCAGCAGUGGGGAAUAUUGCACAAUGGGGGGAAGCCUGAUGCAGCAACGCCGCGUGCGGGAUGACGGCCUUCGGGUUGUAAACCGCUUUCGCCUGUGACGAAGCGUGAGUGACGGUAAUGGGUAAAGAAGCACCGGCUAACUACGUG
Molecule: ribosomal RNA, 468 nt
Filed under: uncultured bacterium
Lineage: Bacteria
Description: partial 16S ribosomal RNA
Rfam family: Bacterial small subunit ribosomal RNA
Source: RNAcentral